RNAcentral lists this ribosomal RNA (469 nucleotides) under uncultured bacterium. Its description in RNAcentral is "partial 16S ribosomal RNA". It matches the Rfam family "Bacterial small subunit ribosomal RNA", at positions 28 to 508 of the family's 1533-position model. The record is from RNAcentral.
GACGAACGCUGGCGGCGUGCUUAACACAUGCAAGUCGAACGGAAAGGCCCUGCUUUUGUGGGGUGCUCGAGUGGCGAACGGGUGAGUAACACGUGAGUAACCUGCCCUUGACUUUGGGAUAACUUCAGGAAACUGGGGCUAAUACCGGAUAGGAGCUCCUGCUGCAUGGUGGGGGUUGGAAAGUUUCGGCGGUUGGGGAUGGACUCGCGGCUUAUCAGCUUGUUGGUGGGGUAGUGGCUUACCAAGGCUUUGACGGGUAGCCGGCCUGAGAGGGUGACCGGCCACAUUGGGACUGAGAUACGGCCCAGACUCCUACGGGAGGCAGCAGUGGGGAAUAUUGCACAAUGGGCGGAAGCCUGAUGCAGCAACGCCGCGUGCGGGAUGACGGCCUUUGGGUUGUAAACCGCUUUCGCCUGUGACGAAGCGUGAGUGACGGUAAUGGGUAAAGAAGCACCGGCUAACUACGUGC